AUUGAACGCUGGCGGAAUGCUUUACUCAUGCAAGUCGAACGGCAGCACGGACUUCGGUCUGGUGGCGAGUGGCGAACGGGUGAGUAAUGUAUCGGAACGUGCCCAGUCGUGGGGGAUAACGUAGUGAAAAUUACGCUAAUACCGCAUACGAUCUAUGGAUGAAAGCGGGGGAUCGCAAGACCUCGCCCGAUUGGAGCGGCCGAUAUCAGAUUAGGUAGUUGGUGGGGUAAAGGCCCACCAAGCCAACGAUCUGUAGCUGGUCUGAGAGGACGACCAGCCACACUGGAACUGAGACACGGUCCAGACUCCUACGGGAGGCAGCAGUGGGGAAUUUUGGACAAUGGGCGAAAGCCUGAUCCAGCCAUUCCGCGUGCAGGAUGAAGGCCCUCGGGUUGUAAACUGCUUUUGUACAGAACGAAAAGGUUUCUACUAAUACUAGGAGCUCAUGACGGUACUGUAAGAAUAAGCACCGGCUAACUACGUGCCAGCAGCCGCAGUAA
Molecule: ribosomal RNA, 500 nt
Filed under: uncultured bacterium
Lineage: Bacteria
Description: partial 16S ribosomal RNA
Rfam family: Bacterial small subunit ribosomal RNA
Source: RNAcentral